Misgurnus anguillicaudatus (oriental weatherfish) is the source of this 456-nucleotide non-coding RNA. The record is from RefSeq and is a predicted model, not a curated record. Lineage: Eukaryota; Metazoa; Chordata; Actinopteri; Cypriniformes; Cobitidae.
CACUCUAAAAAUGGCUGGGUUAUUUUUUAACCCAAAAUGCUGGGUUGAGUCUGUUGGGUUGUUUUGCUGGGUUAUUUUUUUACAUUUUAAACACUUUUUGGGUAGUUUCAGUUUUCUAGGUGUUGGGUUAAAACUGCUGGGUUAUUAUGUUGGGUUGUUUGAAGAGGCUCACGUGCUUCGCGCCCUUGAUGUUUGAAUGUGCUCAGCAAUGGUCGUCGUGAAAGGACAGAGUCACUGAAGCAGUUGUUUCAAGAGUGUGCAGAGUUUUAACGUCCAUCCAUUGAUGAGGCUAGCAAGACCUUCAAACAACUUCAGCCAAUUGCAACAAAUGUGGUGGAAUUUCUUCUCUGGACAGAAUCCUCGAAACCCUUUCCUUUCGUCCUGGCCAUGGGAAACAUGCAGCAGAUCUCUCAAUCUUUUUUCUCAAUCAGUCUCUCUGAAUACGGAAGUGACUUA